CAACUCAAUUCUAAGAGGCAGCAUAUUGGACGACUCCACAGUAAUUGAUCAUUCGUGACUUUAACUUAUUCCUGUUAUCUCUAGAGCAUCUCGUAUAUCUAUAGCGCUGCGUUUCUACCCCAUCUUACCAUGGAUAGGGUUUUGUGCAUUCCGGAGUUCACUUAUGGUCCCACAAAGGUAAUCUUUGGAGAUAUUCAUUUUAGCAUACUGUAAAAGCCUGUGCACAAUGUGCAUAACAAAGCAUCAUUAUUGUCAUUCUCUUCAAAGGAAUUCUGCAGAAGCAGCCUUUAUUUCCAGACUCUGCAGGCCUGCUGGGAGGAAACAUAUUACAAUAAACAGAAGAAGCUCAUGGUCCACUAUCUGCUGCUCCAGAGUCAAGGCCAGGUCCCGCACCAUGUCACCACGGAGCACAUGAGCGACUGGCUGGUGUCUCAGGGCAAAAAAUCCCUUAGGGAGAGGGUGUGGAAGGAAACCCUGGAGGAGGGGAAUGACCUCGCUCGGCUGGUAAGACAAUGAGAGUUAGACACAUACUACAAGUCAGUGAGCUCUUUACUAGCCUUUCAACAACUAGUUAGUACAGCAGAAUAGAUAUGUUGUGAAAUUUCACUAAUCGGACUUCCUGUUUCCUACGGCAGACCUGGGAAGUCAACACUUGCCUAAAA
Non-coding RNA from Oncorhynchus mykiss (rainbow trout), 662 nucleotides. The record is from RefSeq and is a predicted model, not a curated record. NCBI's taxonomy places the organism in Eukaryota, Metazoa, Chordata, Actinopteri, Salmoniformes, Salmonidae.